CAAACGACUCUCGGCAACGGAUAUCUCGGCUCACGCAUCGAUGAAGAACGUAGCAAAAUGCGAUACUUGGUGUGAAUUGCAGAAUCCCGUGAACCAUCGAGUUUUUGAACGCAAGUUGCGCCCAAAGCCUUUUGGUUGAGGGCACGUCUGCCUGGGCGUCACAC
Molecule: ribosomal RNA, 164 nt
Filed under: Munnozia pinnatipartita
Lineage: Eukaryota; Viridiplantae; Streptophyta; Magnoliopsida; Asterales; Asteraceae
Description: 5.8S ribosomal RNA
Rfam family: 5.8S ribosomal RNA
About the family: 5.8S ribosomal RNA (5.8S rRNA) is a component of the large subunit of the eukaryotic ribosome. It is transcribed by RNA polymerase I as part of the 45S precursor that also contains 18S and 28S rRNA.
Source: RNAcentral